AUCGGAAUGAGGAGCCGUUGUAAAUUUUGUACACUUCGAGUUUCGUCUCUGAGCCUGACCUGACUUGAUUGCAUAUACGAUACCUACCUAAUGCGAUUGCCAUUUGAUGCCAUUCCCAGACACAUCUUAUAGUUAUGAGAAUUAGACGACCUAGAUCGGUGACUGGACCACAGUUAGCAAUAACAGCUUUUCUGGGUAUUCUUGGUGGUGUGUAUAUAUGGAAACCACUCUUACUUAGAUAUAAAUCAGAAAACCCCAAAUCAGAAUCCUUGCAAUCCAAGUGAAGGACAUAUUAAAUACAAAAAUAAUUUUCAAGUCUUUGAAAAGUGAAAUGGAUGUACUUCGAAAUGCCUGGAACUUUCCAAUCCUGAAGUCAGGAUUGGCAGUAUCGUUUGUUAUUAUUUUUGGUUACAAGUAUAUUGCUUCUCCUUACUUUAAAGGACGACAUUAUGAUAAACAGGAAAUGUUAGCCAUGGAACUUUAUGAAAUGAGGCAAAAGAACAUGCAAGGAAAACAGUCUGAAGAUAGUAGCAGGCAUUCACCCAGCCAUCAAAGUUAGAAUUAGGUCCUCACAAGGAGCUCACAAAGUAAAGUACUAAAAUCAUUUUUGUUAUUGUGUAAAGACAUAAGUGGGUAACUUUUAAUAAACCCUAAGAUCAUGAUGUACACCAUAUUUCGAAGGAAUGAAUGUAUAAAAAUUGUAAGCCACAUUAAAUUCGUAGUAGUAAAGAUAUGAACAUAGGUCAAAUUUAUUACAUCCUACCCUAGUACUACUUACUACAAGGUGAGUGUUCUGUACCUUUGUGGAAACUGUUUGUUUGACAGGGCAUUAAAUGCAUAGUUAAGAAACUACAGCAUCUUUCUUUUCUCUUGCUUGUUUUUUUAGAACUAUAAUGAAAUUAUAAAAUAAACUAAAAAUCAUGAAGGUUACACAUUUUUUUGCAAACUUAGAAGCCCAAAAAUAUUUUUAUAUUUAUACUGGUAUCAAGAUUUCCAGACUGACCAAAUGUCAAAAGGUCUGUCUAUAGUACUGUGCAAUAUUGUAAAUAGCUUUGGCAUUAAAAAUAAAUUUCUUUUCUUGAGA
Molecule: long non-coding RNA, 1084 nt
Organism: Macrobrachium nipponense
Lineage: Eukaryota; Metazoa; Arthropoda; Malacostraca; Decapoda; Palaemonidae
Exons: 4
Source: RefSeq, a predicted model, not a curated record